GAUGAACGCUGGCGGCGUGCCUAACACAUGCAAGUCGAACGGAAAGACCUGCUUUUCCUUGUGGUGUCGGGGUACGCGGGUGGGGGACGGACGAGUGAAAAGUGAGUGUUCUGGCCCCGAAUUGGGUAGAAGCCUGGGAAACAGGGCCUAAUAACCGAUAGGACUGCAGGGUGGUGUCGGUGGUGGCGGACGUGCUGUUAGUGGUUGGGGGAGAGGCUGCGGCUUAGCAGCUUGUUGGUGGGGUAGUGGCCUAAGGAGGCGACGAUGGGCAGCCGGCCCGGGCGGGAGAUCGGCCACACUGGCACUGAGACACGGUCCCGGCUCCUACGCGAGGCAGCAGUAGGGGAUGGUACGCAAUGGGCGAAGGCGUGACCCUGCAGCGCCGCGUGCGUGAGGAAGGUCUUCGGCUUGUAAUGCUCUGCUCUUAGCGAAGACCAAGUAGGCACCUAGCUGGGAGGGUGUUGACGGUACCGGAAGAAGAAGCACCGGCUAACUACGUG
This 500-nucleotide ribosomal RNA is filed under the name uncultured bacterium. Its description in RNAcentral is "partial 16S ribosomal RNA". It matches the Rfam family "Bacterial small subunit ribosomal RNA", at positions 28 to 507 of the family's 1533-position model. The record is from RNAcentral.